RNAcentral lists this ribosomal RNA (469 nucleotides) under uncultured bacterium. RNAcentral describes it as "bacterial SSU rRNA". It matches the Rfam family "Bacterial small subunit ribosomal RNA", at positions 30 to 487 of the family's 1533-position model. The record is from RNAcentral.
AUUGGACGCUGGCGGCAUGCCUUACACAUGCAAGUCGAACGGCAGCACGGGGGCAACCCUGGUGGCGAGUGGCGAACGGGUGAGUAACAUAUCGGAACAUACCCUAGAGUGGGGGAUAACGUAGCGAAAGUUACGCUAAUACCGCAUACGAUCUAAGGAUGAAAGUGGGGGAUCUUCGGACCUCAUGCUCAUGGAGUGGCCGAUAUCUGAUUAGCUAGUUGGUGAGGUAAAGGCUCACCAAGGCGACGAUCAGUAGCUGGUUUGAGAGAACGACCAGCCACACUGGAACUGAGACACGGUCCAGACUCCUACGGGAGGCAGCAGUGGGGAAUUUUUGGACAAUGGGGGCAACCCUGAUCCAGCAAUGCCGCGUGAGUGAAGAAGGCCUUCGGGUUGUAAGACGUCUUUUGUUCUAGGGAAGAAACGGUAGAGUUCUAAUACAGCUUGCUAAUGACGGUACCGUGAAGAA